Molecule: transfer RNA, 72 nt
Filed under: Camelus bactrianus (Bactrian camel)
Lineage: Eukaryota; Metazoa; Chordata; Mammalia; Artiodactyla; Camelidae
Also listed under: 3 other names
Rfam family: tRNA
About the family: Transfer RNA (tRNA) molecules are approximately 80 nucleotides in length. Their secondary structure includes four short double-helical elements and three loops (D, anti-codon, and T loops).
Source: Rfam by way of RNAcentral
GAGAGUAUAGCUCAGUGGUAGAGUGCAUGCUUAGCAUGCACAAGGUCCUAGGUUCAAUCUCCAGUACCUCCA